GACGAACGCUGGCGGCGUGCCUAAUACAUGCAAGUAGAACGCUGAAGGAGGAGCUUGCUCUUCUGGAUGAGUUGCGAACGGGUGAGUAACGCGUAGGUAACCUGCCUGGUAGCGGGGGAUAACUAUUGGAAACGAUAGCUAAUACCGCAUAACAGUAGAUGUUGCAUGACAUUUACUUAAAAGGUGCAAUUGCAUCACUACCAGAUGGACCUGCGUUGUAUUAGCUAGUUGGUGGGGUAACGGCUCACCAAGGCGACGAUACAUAGCCGACCUGAGAGGGGGAUCGGCCACACUGGGACUGAGACACGGCCCAGACUCCUACGGGAGGCAGCAGUAGGGAAUCUUCGGCAAUAGACGGAAGUCUGACCGAGCAACGCCGCGUGAGUGAAGAAGGUUUUCGGAUCGUAAAGCUCUGUUGUAAGAGAAGAACGAGUGUGAGAGUGGAAAGUUCACACUGUGACGGUAUCUUACCAGAAAGGGACGGCUAACUACGUG
Molecule: ribosomal RNA, 495 nt
Filed under: uncultured bacterium
Lineage: Bacteria
Description: partial 16S ribosomal RNA
Rfam family: Bacterial small subunit ribosomal RNA
Source: RNAcentral